Molecule: ribosomal RNA, 301 nt
Filed under: uncultured bacterium
Lineage: Bacteria
Description: partial 16S ribosomal RNA
Rfam family: Bacterial small subunit ribosomal RNA
Source: RNAcentral
CAGUAGCCGCGGUAAUACGUAGGUCCCGAGCGUUGUCCGGAUUUAUUGGGCGUAAAGCGAGCGCAGGCGGUUAGAUAAGUCUGAAGUUAAAGGCUGUGGCUUAACCAUAGUACGCUUUGGAAACUGUUUAACUUGAGUGCAAGAGGGGAGAGUGGAAUUCCAUGUGUAGCGGUGAAAUGCGUAGAUAUAUGGAGGAACACCGGUGGCGAAAGCGGCUCUCUGGCUUGUAACUGACGCUGAGGCUCAAAAGCGUGGGGCGCAAACAGGAUUAGAUACCCCUGUAGUCCCUGUCUCUUAUACA